AGGAAUGUGACCUAACUUAAUCCA
RNAcentral lists this non-coding RNA (24 nucleotides) under Arabidopsis thaliana (thale cress). The record is from RNAcentral. Lineage: Eukaryota; Viridiplantae; Streptophyta; Magnoliopsida; Brassicales; Brassicaceae.